Molecule: ribosomal RNA, 740 nt
Filed under: Bacillus cereus
Lineage: Bacteria; Bacillati; Bacillota; Bacilli; Caryophanales; Bacillaceae
Description: bacterial SSU rRNA
Rfam family: Bacterial small subunit ribosomal RNA
Source: RNAcentral
GAGCUUGCUCUUAUGAAGUUAGCGGCGGACGGGUGAGUAACACGUGGGUAACCUGCCCAUAAGACUGGGAUAACUCCGGGAAACCGGGGCUAAUACCGGAUAACAUUUUGAACCGCAUGGUUCGAAAUUGAAAGGCGGCUUCGGCUGUCACUUAUGGAUGGACCCGCGUCGCAUUAGCUAGUUGGUGAGGUAACGGCUCACCAAGGCAACGAUGCGUAGCCGACCUGAGAGGGUGAUCGGCCACACUGGGACUGAGACACGGCCCAGACUCCUACGGGAGGCAGCAGUAGGGAAUCUUCCGCAAUGGACGAAAGUCUGACGGAGCAACGCCGCGUGAGUGAUGAAGGCUUUCGGGUCGUAAAACUCUGUUGUUAGGGAAGAACAAGUGCUAGUUGAAUAAGCUGGCACCUUGACGGUACCUAACCAGAAAGCCACGGCUAACUACGUGCCAGCAGCCGCGGUAAUACGUAGGUGGCAAGCGUUAUCCGGAAUUAUUGGGCGUAAAGCGCGCGCAGGUGGUUUCUUAAGUCUGAUGUGAAAGCCCACGGCUCAACCGUGGAGGGUCAUUGGAAACUGGGAGACUUGAGUGCAGAAGAGGAAAGUGGAAUUCCAUGUGUAGCGGUGAAAUGCGUAGAGAUAUGGAGGAACACCAGUGGCGAAUGGCGACUUUCUGGUCUGUAACUGACACUGAGGCGCGAAAGCGUGGGAGCAAACAGGGAUUAGAUACCCUGGUAGUCCAC